AGAACGAACGCUGGCGGCAGGCUUAACACAUGCAAGUCGAGCGCCUCGCAAGAGGAGCGGCAGACGGGUGAGUAACACGUGGGAACGUGCCCAAAGGUACGGAACAACUCCGGGAAACUGGAGCUAAUACCGUAUGUGCCCGAAAGGGGAAAGAUUUAUCGCCUUUGGAUCGGCCCGCGUCUGAUUAGCUAGUUGGCGGGGUAAUGGCCCACCAAGGCGACGAUCAGUAGCUGGUCUGAGAGGAUGACCAGCCACAUUGGGACUGAGACACGGUCCAGACUCCUACGGGAGGCAGCAGUGGGGAAUCUUGCGCAAUGGGCGAAAGCCUGACGCAGCAACGCCGCGUGGGGGAUGAAGCUUCUCGGAGUGUAAACCCCUUUCGACCCGGACGAAUGCCCGCAAGGGUUUGACGGUACGGUAUAAGAAGCCCCGGCUAACUACGUGCCAGCAGCCGC
Molecule: ribosomal RNA, 455 nt
Filed under: uncultured bacterium
Lineage: Bacteria
Description: SSU rRNA
Rfam family: Bacterial small subunit ribosomal RNA
Source: RNAcentral